CCUACGGGAGGCAGCAGUGAGGAAUAUUGGUCAAUGGCCGGAAGGCUGAACCAGCCAUGCCGCGUGAAGGUCAGUGCCCUAUGGGCGUUAAACUUCUUUUGUGCGGGAGCAAUAAUGGUCACGUGUGGCCAGACGAGAGUACCGUACGAAUAAGCAUCGUCUAACUCCGUGCCAGCCGCCGCUGUAAUACGGGGGAUGCAAGCGUUAUCCGGAGUUAUUGGGUGUAAGGGGUGCGUAGGCUGUGAGGUAAGUCAGCGGUGAAAUGCCCCCGCUCACCGGGGUGAAGUGCCAUGGAUACUGCCUGGCUGGAAUGCGGAUGCCGUGGGAGGAAUGUGUGGUGUAGCGGUGAAAUGCAUAGAUAUUACACAGAACACCGAUUGCGAAGGCAUCUCACGAAUCCGCGAUUGACGCUGAUGCACGAAAGCGUGGGUAUCAAACAGGAUUAGAUACCCGUGUAGUC
Molecule: ribosomal RNA, 460 nt
Filed under: uncultured bacterium
Lineage: Bacteria
Description: partial 16S ribosomal RNA
Rfam family: Bacterial small subunit ribosomal RNA
Source: RNAcentral